This 253-nucleotide ribosomal RNA is filed under the name uncultured bacterium. Its description in RNAcentral is "partial 16S ribosomal RNA". It matches the Rfam family "Bacterial small subunit ribosomal RNA", at positions 524 to 776 of the family's 1533-position model. The record is from RNAcentral.
UACGAAGGGGGCUAGCGUUGUUCGGAAUUACUGGGCGUAAAGGGCGCGUAGGCGGUCCUUCAAGUCAGGCGUGAAAGCCCCGGGCUCAACCUGGGAACCGCGCUUGAGACUGGCGGGCUAGAGUUCGGGAGAGGAUGGCGGAAUUCCCAGUGUAGAGGUGAAAUUCGUAGAUAUUGGGAAGAACACCGAUGGCGAAGGCAGCCAUCUGGACCGACACUGACGCUGAGGCGCGAAAGCGUGGGGAGCAAACAGG